Molecule: small nuclear RNA, 328 nt
Filed under: Erinaceus europaeus (western European hedgehog)
Lineage: Eukaryota; Metazoa; Chordata; Mammalia; Eulipotyphla; Erinaceidae
Description: 7SK RNA
Rfam family: 7SK RNA
About the family: 7SK was discovered as an abundant small nuclear RNA in the mid-70s but a possible function has only recently been suggested. Two independent studies have found that 7SK RNA binds the CDK9/cyclin T complex (known as elongation factor P-TEFb). P-TEFb activates transcription by phosphorylating the C-terminal domain of RNA polymerase II.
Source: Rfam by way of RNAcentral
GGAUGUGAGGGCGGUCUGGCUGCGACAUCUGUCACCCCAUUGAUCGCCAGGGUUGAUUCGGCUGAUCUGGCUGGCUAGGCGGCUGUCCCCUUCCUGCCUCACCGCUCCAUGUGCGUCCCUCCCGAAGCUGCGCGCUCGAAGAGGACAGCCUUCCCCAAAUAGAGACGGACCGGUCUUCGGUCGAGGGUGUACGAGUAGCUGCGCUCCCCUGCUAGAACCUCCAAACAAGCUCUCAAGGAAAUGUGGAGGUCUCCCAAGAGUUGGGCUGGGAGAGCUGACCCCCUCCCCCACCCCCACGGUGGCUGCUUCCCCAGGCCUGCCAGUCAGU